RNAcentral lists this ribosomal RNA (242 nucleotides) under uncultured bacterium. RNAcentral describes it as "partial 16S ribosomal RNA". It matches the Rfam family "Bacterial small subunit ribosomal RNA", at positions 338 to 594 of the family's 1533-position model. The record is from RNAcentral.
CCUACGGGGCGCAGCAGUGGGGGAUAUUGGACAAUGGGGGGAACCCUGAUCCAGCGACGCCGCGUGAGUGAAGAAGUAUUUCGGUAUUUACAGCCCCGCCCUCCUUUAAGACAUCCCUUCCGCUCCCUGACCAAGCAGCCACGCCCAACUACGUGGCACACGCCGCGGUCCUCCUUCCGUGGCAAGCGUUAUCCGGACCUCCCGCGUGUAAAUUUCUCGUAGACGGCUGCGCACCUCCUUCU